UGUCUGACUUUUAGUUUUUUUACUGUGCAGGAUGUUUAAAUAUUGCUUCUUUCUUGCGUGCUUAAUGGAAGAACCCUACAGAUCAUCUCUGGAUUUCCAGCAAGUGAACCCCUGGACUGACGACGUGAUGAUCAUGGGCCUGGAAAUAUCUGUCGCCUGACGUGAGCAAUGAGCCGGAAAACCGAUCAGAAAUCAUCGAUGCACAUCAUGGGAGUUUGGGCCGGUCUCAGCAACGCCUUUUGGUUUGGUUGGGUUCCAUCUGGCUGGCUACAGAUGUUUUGGAUGGAGUCCGUAGCCGCAAGAACAGCACAGACCAUGGCAUCAUGCGUUCCAGCACAGUUUUGGCAGAUUAAAAAUGGGGUGAAAUGGUGAAUGUGGUUUCUAGUGUUGUGACUUGUGAGGAUAGGAACAUUUUGGGGGCUGAACAUUUUGGGGGCUAGCAGGAGCUCAGGACAAUGUGGAUAGUGUUGUCUGCUACUGCUCACGAGGUCAGAUUUACGUUUUCUGGUGUCAAUAAUGGGGUUCUCUACGUCGACUAUGGCGGCCGAGGGCGGCGUGGCCUGACCGAUCUGACUUUGGCCACCUUUGCUCGGGUGGUAGCGUAGAGCGUUUUGCUCUGACUUUGUUUUUUUCUUUUCCUAUACAAGUAUACAUGGUUUUGGAUUUCAGACUUUCAGAGAUUACUACUACUAUCUUGUCAGUAAGCUGCUCGUCAUUUGGCUGCAUGGUUGUACCAACCGUAUGCCAAAGUCUACUGGAGUUUCACUGGUAUUAUUAUUGCACUCAGAAAGUACUAAUCUUUAACAUUUACAGCAGAAAGCACCAAACAUGGAAGAACUGCACUCGCUAAGGAUCUAAGGUUGCAUGAACAGCAGUAUGCACAGCACGAUCCUGCAGAAUGUUGGUUGAAGAAGCAUCCAUCCAUCCUUGUUUGAGACUUUCAGUUGUCUCUACGUUGCCUCAACUGGUGAGAGGACCUCCAGCUCUGCCCACCAGAGUGGAGACAGUCUCGGCGUUGCUGCAUCCGGUGAAAUGGCGAUGGCCUCUCUCAGCCUUGUGGUGAUCUCCCUCAUGCUUGGUCUCUUCUUCGGGUCACUCUGUAUGCAGUCAAGGAUUAUCUGACAAAUCAAAUCUAGCUCGUUUUCUUUAUGCGACUCCAGUUUUGGAUCAAGCAACGAAGCUAUACUUCGGCCUUUGAUGAUGCACCCCAAAGCCUACUGCUGUCAUUACCAGAUUCACUAGGGAACCCUCGUUUUCAGAGUAUGGGAGCUUCCCUGAGAUGAUUUCAAGCAGCAGUAUACCAAAAC
Oryza brachyantha (malo sina) is the source of this 1307-nucleotide long non-coding RNA. RefSeq lists it as uncharacterized. The transcript is spliced from 3 exons. Lineage: Eukaryota; Viridiplantae; Streptophyta; Magnoliopsida; Poales; Poaceae. The record is from RefSeq and is a predicted model, not a curated record.